This is a non-coding RNA of Pelobates cultripes (western spadefoot toad), 222 nucleotides long. Lineage: Eukaryota; Metazoa; Chordata; Amphibia; Anura; Pelobatidae. The record is from the annotation of a GenBank genome assembly.
GUCUAGAGUUUCGGGUUUGGGGUCCUUGACCCAUUACUUGGACGAUUUUUUGUUUGUCGGUCCGUCGGGUUCCCAGGAUUGUAUGGCGUUGCUUCGGGCCUUCCGGCGGGUAGCGUCGGAGUUCGGGGUUCCUGUUUCCGAACAAAAAAUGGUCGGCCCGGUGUUGGUUCUUUCGUUCUUGGGUAUCAAAAUCGAUACCGAGAGCAUGGUCUUCCGGCUUCC